Molecule: ribosomal RNA, 575 nt
Filed under: Rinodina candidogrisea
Lineage: Eukaryota; Fungi; Ascomycota; Lecanoromycetes; Caliciales; Physciaceae
Description: eukaryotic LSU rRNA
Rfam family: 5.8S ribosomal RNA (bases 231-384)
Source: RNAcentral
UUUAGAGGAAGUAAAAGUCGUAACAAGGUUUCCGUAGGUGAACCUGCGGAAGGAUCAUUACCGAGAGCAUGGGGUCUAACCGGCCCUAACUCUUCACCCGUGUCUACAAAAAAAGUGUUGCUUUGGCGGGCCAGGGCCUCGUCCGGGUGGGUUAGCCCCCGCCCCGUGUCCGCCGAAGGCCCCAAUCCAUCCUGUUAUCAGUGUCGUCCGAGUAAAACCACAAUCAUUAAAACUUUCAACAACGGAUCUCUUGGCAAAAGUAUCGAUGAAAAACGCAGCGAAAUGCGAAAAGUAAUGUGAAUUGCAAAAUUCCGUGAAUCAUCGAAUCUUUGAACGCACAUUGCGCCCUUUGGUAUUCCGAAGGGCAUGCCUGUUCGAGCGUCAUUGCACCCCUCAAGCACUGCUUGGUGUUGGGCACCGCCCCCGUGGCGGGCCUGGAACUCAGUGGCGGUCCGGCGAGACUUCAAGCGUAGCAAGAUUUCACAUCCCGCUUUGGAAGCCUCUCGUCGCGUGCCGGCCAAACAACCUCACUAUUCUAUCAAUGGUUGACCUCGGAUCAGGUAGGGAUACCCGCU